RNAcentral lists this ribosomal RNA (350 nucleotides) under uncultured Bacteroidales bacterium. RNAcentral's name for it is "bacterial SSU rRNA". It matches the Rfam family "Bacterial small subunit ribosomal RNA", at positions 790 to 1144 of the family's 1533-position model. The record is from RNAcentral. Lineage: Bacteria; Pseudomonadati; Bacteroidota; Bacteroidia; Bacteroidales.
GUAGUCCACGCAGUAAACGAUGAAUACUAGCUGUUGGCGAUAUAUGGUCAGCGGUACAGCGAAAGUGUUAAGUAUUCCACCUGGGGAGUACGCCGGCAACGGUGAAACUCAAAGGAAUUGACGGGGGCCCGCACAAGCGGAGGAACAUGUGGUUUAAUUCGAUGAUACGCGAGGAACCUUACCCGGGCUUGAAAGUUAGUGACGGCGGAUGAAAGUCUGCUUCCCUUCGGGGCACGAAACUAGGUGCUGCAUGGUUGUCGUCAGCUCGUGCCGUGAGGUGUCGGCUUAAGUGCCAUAACGAGCGCAACCCUUGCCGUUAGUUGCCAGCGGGUGAUGCCGGGAACUCUAGC